Belonocnema kinseyi is the source of this 633-nucleotide long non-coding RNA. RefSeq lists it as uncharacterized. The transcript has 3 exons. Lineage: Eukaryota; Metazoa; Arthropoda; Insecta; Hymenoptera; Cynipidae. The record is from RefSeq and is a predicted model, not a curated record.
AUCGGUAAGAACCGUUAUUGUCAUCCUCCUGGUGUACGCUAUUGCACUUUCUCAGAUGGAUGGAUCUGUUGAAGCUGUAAGGUUAGUGUUACUUUAGGAAGUACCCUCAGGACCGAAUCCGAUAUCCAAUGGAUAAAUAGACACCGACAGCGAAUCGUUAAGUCGGGUGAGCUCGGGUUCGCGAUCGUGCCUGCGCCGACUCACCGACACGCUCCGUUUGCAUGAGUUGCUCCUAGCCAAUAGAGAGGUGGAGGCCGAGAAAUCCCACCUUCUCGAGACACUGGACUAUAUAAUGCCAUUUGAAAGAAAUCUGAGCUUCAUUCAACGUUCAACAUGGCAUCUGUAAGAACCGUUAUUGUCAUCCUCAUGGUGUGCGCUAUUACACUUUCUCAGAUGGAUGGUUCUAAAGCAACUGUAAGGAUAAAGUUAGAUCAUGAUGUACCCGGAGGACCGAGUCCGAUAUCCAAUGGAUAAAUAGAAUGAAUGGAACCUUCUGCGUAUAACCUAUCACAAUUUGAAUCAAUCUAAAAUGUUGAAUUGCAACGGGAAAUCCUAAAAUUAAAUGUACGACUCUUAUAUUUCGAUUAACUUUUCAAAUGCUGUAUAUGUGAUUAAUAAAUCUUAAAAAAUGUA